GCUCUGGGUCACCUCCCACCCGUGUUUAUUUUACCUUGUUGCUUCGGCGGGCCCGCCUUAACUGGCCGCCGGGGGGCUUACGCCCCCGGGCCCGCGCCCGCCGAAGACACCCUCGAACUCUGUCUGAAGAUUGUAGUCUGAGUGAAAAUAUAAAUUAUUUAAAACUUUCAACAACGGAUCUCUUGGUUCCGGCAUCGAUGAAGAACGCAGCGAAAUGCGAUACGUAAUGUGAAUUGCAAAUUCAGUGAAUCAUCGAGUCUUUGAACGCACAUUGCGCCCCCUGGUAUUCCGGGGGGCAUGCCUGUCCGAGCGUCAUUGCUGCCCUCAAGCACGGCUUGUGUGUUGGGCCCCGUCCUCCGAUCCCGGGGGACGGGCCCGAAAGGCAGCGGCGGCACCGCGUCCGGUCCUCGAGCGUAUGGGGCUUUGUCACCCGCUCUGUAGGCCCGGCCGGCGCUUGCCGAUCAACCCAAAUUUUUAUCCAGGUUGACCUCGGAUCAGGUAGGGAUACCCGCUGAACUUAAGCAUAUCAAAAGCCAGGAGGAAUC
RNAcentral lists this ribosomal RNA (545 nucleotides) under fungal sp. BTJKDF25. RNAcentral describes it as "eukaryotic LSU rRNA". The stretch from base 163 to 315 matches the Rfam family "5.8S ribosomal RNA". Lineage: Eukaryota; Fungi. The record is from RNAcentral.